GGUGGCAUGACUGAGUGGUUUAAGGUAUGAUAUUUGAGCUAUCACGGUGAACAACCCGCGUGUUCGAAUCACGCUGCCUCCG
This is a non-coding RNA of Hemisphaericaspora subhashii, 82 nucleotides long. The record is from the annotation of a RefSeq genome assembly. NCBI's taxonomy places the organism in Eukaryota, Fungi, Ascomycota, Pichiomycetes, Serinales, Debaryomycetaceae.